This 21-nucleotide non-coding RNA is filed under the name Caenorhabditis elegans. Lineage: Eukaryota; Metazoa; Nematoda; Chromadorea; Rhabditida; Rhabditidae. The record is from RNAcentral.
UGGAGAAUCCUAUAAGCAGUU